Molecule: long non-coding RNA, 482 nt
Filed under: Bos taurus (domestic cattle)
Lineage: Eukaryota; Metazoa; Chordata; Mammalia; Artiodactyla; Bovidae
Description: long non-coding RNA NONBTAT026723
Source: RNAcentral
ACAAAAUCAAGGAAUGUCCUCAUGCUUUUACACACACAUUAAUUUUUUAAGUUUGGGAGGCAGGAAGAAUUUUUACCAUUAAAUAAGUAUUAGUGAACAUUUCUGUUUUUUAAAAAUGUAACAAUAUUAAUUUAAUGUAAUAAUGUUUGGUCAAAACUAAAAUCACUAUUUCAAAGAUGAAUCUAGCACUGAUUCUCGAGGUGCAGGUUUUGAGUUUUAUGUGCAUAAACCACCCUGUGAAUAUUUCUUUGUAUAUGAAAGUAAUAUAUAAUCAUUGAAAAUAUUAGUUUUAAAUUUAAAAGCAAUCAUAGAAAGGGUUUGUUAUGAAACAUUUACAUUUGUUUAGAUUUGGCUAAAGUUGUGUCAGAAGAAAAUACUUCUAUUUAUUUUGAGAAUAAAGCUACAUCUUUUAAUUUCAAAAACUAAGUAUUCUCUCAAUAGUGUAAAUAACCACACUGUUACCAGGCACCUCCUUAACUGCU